CCUACGGGAGGCAGCAGUGAGGAAUAUUGGUCAAUGGGCGCGAGCCUGAACCAGCCACGUAGCGUGAAGGAUGACUGCCCUACGGGUUGUAAACUUCUUUUAUAAAGGAAUAAAGUGAGGCACGUGUGCCUUUUUGUAUGUCCUUUAUGAAUAAGGAUCGGCUAACUCCGUGCCAGCAGCCGCGGUAAUACGGAGGAUCCGUGCGUUAUCCGGAUUUAUUGGGUUUAAAGGGAGCGUAGAUGGGUUAGUAAGUCAGUGGUGAAAGUUUGCGGCUCAACCGUAAAAUUGCAAUUGAGACUGGCAGCCUAGAGUACAGGUGAGGUAGGCGGAAUUCGUGGUGUAGCGGGGAAAUGCUUAGAUAUCACGAAGAACUCCGAUUGCGAAGGCAGCUUACUAAACUGCCACUGACAUUGAUGCUCGAAAGUGUGGGUAUCAAACAGGAUUAGAUACCCCUGUAGUC
Molecule: ribosomal RNA, 460 nt
Filed under: uncultured bacterium
Lineage: Bacteria
Description: partial 16S ribosomal RNA
Rfam family: Bacterial small subunit ribosomal RNA
Source: RNAcentral